Symphalangus syndactylus (siamang) is the source of this 1172-nucleotide long non-coding RNA. RefSeq lists it as uncharacterized. The record is from RefSeq and is a predicted model, not a curated record. NCBI's taxonomy places the organism in Eukaryota, Metazoa, Chordata, Mammalia, Primates, Hylobatidae.
UGCAGUGACUGGUACUUUGUUCCUUCCCCAGCCUGAGGUCUGUUAGGGCAGUACCACUGCAACUGCAGAGACAAGCGUUUGCAGGUUCACUCUGGGAUUUCCUCUUCGAAGAAAUGCGGGGGUGCCUCUGAUUGAAGUGGUCAGGAGGAAACAGGGUGGUCGUGCUGGAGUCCCAGGUCGGGCAACCCUACGCAGUGAGGACUGGGACUUGUGGGGAACAGUCUGGCCGCUUUUCUAAGGGCAGCCGUGCUGUGCUGGGCGUCCACUCCAGUUACUGACUGAUCACCUUGCACUCUCUAAAGCCUGAAGGCAACAAGGACUGAGGCUGUGAAACAGCAAAGAUGGCCGCCUACCCCUUCCUCUGAGAGCUCCCUCUCAGGGAUGUGUAAUGCUGCUACCAGUAGCUGGCUAGAGUUCCAAGCCAGUGGGUCUUAUCCUGUGACCUCUGAAGUGCUAUGGAAGUGAGGCCUGCAGAUCAUCGCUGCUCAGCCCCCUGGAUUCAGCCCCUUUCAUAGGAACGAAGUUUCACUCUUGUUGCCCAGGCUGGAGUGCAGUGGCGCCAUCUCAGCUCACUGUAACCUCUGCCUCCCGCAUUCAAGCAAUUCUCCUGCCUCAGCCUCCUGAGUAGCUGGGAUUACAGGCGCCCACCACCACGUCUGGCUAAUUUUUGUAUAUUUAGUAGAGAUGGGGUUUCACCACGUUGACCAGGCUGGUCUUGAACUUCUGACCUCAGGUGAUCCACACACCUCAGCCUCUCAGUGUGCUGGGAUUACAGGCAUGAGCCACCGCACCCGGCCCAACAUGUCUGUAUUCUUAAAGCUAUAGAGGUGUCUUUGCUAUUUUGUUCUCUUAGGAGCAAGAGGACAUGUGUAUUGGUGAGAGAAGAGAGAGAGUUCAUAAACCAGGAUCUUCUUCAGCCUCCAAGGAAAAGUUGAGAGUCAGCAGAAGAUUCUUGCCAGGUUGAGUCCAGCCACUAGCGUCUCUCUCUCCGAAUCUUAGCCUGUCACCCCCUCACGACUCCUCCAAUGGCCCCUCCACUUCUACCCGGCUCGACAUGUCCAUGACCACCAUCGAGGCUGAGGAUUCCCCUCCCCCCCGACAUUUGUAAUUCUUAACAGUGUAGCAUAUUUACAAAGAUUGGAAAGACAUUUAAUAAAAUGUUAAUGAUAAGA